RNAcentral lists this ribosomal RNA (301 nucleotides) under uncultured bacterium. RNAcentral describes it as "partial 16S ribosomal RNA". It matches the Rfam family "Bacterial small subunit ribosomal RNA", at positions 509 to 810 of the family's 1533-position model. The record is from RNAcentral.
CAGCCGCCGCGGUAAUACGGAGGGUGCAAGCGUUAAUCGGAAUUACUGGGCGUAAAGCGCACGCAGGCGGUCUGACAAGUCAGAUGUGAAAUCCCCGGGCUUAACCUGGGAACUGCAUUUGAAACUGUCAGGCUGGAGUCUUGUAGAGGGGGGUGGAAUUCCAGGUGUAGCGGUGAAAUGCGUAGAGAUCUGGAGGAAUACCGGUGGCGAAGGCGGCCCCCUGGACAAAGACUGACGCUCAGGUGCGAAAGCGUGGGGAGCAAACAGGAUUAGAUACCCGGUAGUCCCUGUCUUUUAUACA